GACGAACGCUGGCGGCGUGCUUAACACAUGCAAGUCGAACGGAGUGGCGAACGGGUGAGUAACACGCGGGUGACCUGCCCUGCACUUCGCGAUAAGUCUGGGAAACUGGGUCUACUACAGGAUAGUGGGGGAGGGGCCCUGGGGCGAUCAGCUUGUUGGUGGGGUAAUGGCCUACGAAGGCGGCGACGUGUAGCAGGCCCGAGAGGGUGGACGGCCAAAUUGUGAAUGGGACAAGGCCCAGACUCCUACGGGAGGCAGCAGUGGGGAAUAUUGCAGAAUGGGCGGAAGCCUGAUGCAGCGACGCCGCGUGGGGGAUGACGGCCUUCGGGUUGUAAACUCCUUUCACCAUCGACGCGGUAGAUGGGGAGGAAGCACCGGCUAACUACGUGCCAGCCGCCGCGGUAAGAC
Molecule: ribosomal RNA, 408 nt
Filed under: uncultured bacterium
Lineage: Bacteria
Description: partial 16S ribosomal RNA
Rfam family: Bacterial small subunit ribosomal RNA
Source: RNAcentral